GAGUUUGAUCCUGGCUCAGAACGAACGCYGGCGGCGUGCUUAACACAUGCAAGUCSAACGUGAUUGAGAGCUUGCUCUCAUGAAAGUGGCGCACGGGUGAGUAACMCGUGGAUAAUCUGCCUGGCGAUUCGGGAUAACACUUCGAAAGGGGUGCUAAUACCGGAUAAGCCCACGGACUCUUAGGGGUUUGCGGGAAAAGGGGGCCUCUGUAUAUGCUCCUGUCGCUAGAUGAGUCCGCGGCCCAUUAGCUAGUUGGUAGGGUAAUGGCCUACCAAGGCGACGAUGGGUAGCUGGUCUGARAGGAUGAUCAGCCACACUGGAACUGAGACACGGUCCAGACUCCUACGGGAGGCAGCAGUGGGGAAUUUUGCGCAAUGGGCGAAAGCCUGACGCAGCAACGCCGCGUGAGUGAUGAAGGCCUUCGGGUCGUAAAGCUCUGUCAGUGGGGAAGAACCGCCGGGUGGUUAAUACCUGCCUGGUCUGACGGUACCCACAAAGGAAGCACCGGCUAACUACGUGCCAGCAGCCGCGGUAAUAC
Molecule: ribosomal RNA, 538 nt
Filed under: uncultured Geobacteraceae bacterium
Lineage: Bacteria; Pseudomonadati; Thermodesulfobacteriota; Desulfuromonadia; Geobacterales; Geobacteraceae
Description: bacterial SSU rRNA
Rfam family: Bacterial small subunit ribosomal RNA
Source: RNAcentral